CUAUGAUAUGACAGAACUGUGGGGACACGUGCAGAGAGCGGAAGCCGGGAAUGGGAUCCCGGUGCAUGCGAGGUACCAGCCGCAUUGGAAAAACCGUGCGGCAAUGGGAAGACGUGAUGCGGAGUGAAGUUUAGUAAUGAAGUCCGUGAGCUGUGCGUCAAGAAAAGCCGCUAUUGUUCAUACCAUACCCGUACCGUAAACCGACACAGGUGGAUGAGGAGAGAAUCCUAAGGCCGGCGGAAGAAGCAUUGUCAAGGAACUCGGCAAAAUGACCCCGUAACUUCGGGAGAAAGGGUGCCUGCGAGAGCAGGCCGCAGAGAAUAGGCUCAAGCAACUGUUUAGCAAAAACACAGGUCUAUGCGAAACCGAAAGGUGAGGUAUAUGGGCUGACGCCUGCCCGGUGCUGGAAGGUUAAGAGGAGAGGUUAGCGCAAGCGAAGCUUUGAAUUUAAGCCCCAGUAAACGGCGGCCGUAACUAUAACGGUCCUAAGGUAGCGAAAUUCCUUGUCGGGUAAGUUCCGACCCGCACGAAAGGCGUAAUGAUUUGAGCGCUGUCUCGACAAUGCAUCCGGUGAAAUUGAAGUACCAGUGAAGAUGCUGGUUACCUGCGCCAGGACGGAAAGACCCCAUGGAGCUUUACUCCAGUUUGGUACUGGGAUCCGGUACUGCAUGUACAGGAUAGGUGGGAGGCUGAGAAUCGGUAACGCCAGUUGCCGAGGAGCCGCUGUUGGGAUACCACCCUUGCAGUAUUGGGUUUCUAACCAGCCGCCGUGACCCGGCGGUGGGACAAUGCCAGACGGGGAGUUUGACUGGGGCGGUCGCCUCCGAAAGGGUAUCGGAGGCGCUCAAAGGUUCCCUCAGGAUGGACGGAAACCAUCCAAAGAGUGCAAAGGCAGAAGGGAGCUUGACUGCGACACCGACGGGUGGAGCAGGUACGAAAGUAGGGCUUAGUGAUCCGGUGGUAUUAAGUGGGAAUGCCAUCGCUCAACGGAUAAAAGCUACCCUGGGAUAACAGGCUUAUCACUCCCAAGAGUUCACAUCGACGGAGUGGUUUGGCACCUCGAUGUCGGCUCAUCGCAUCCUGGGGCUGUAGUAGGUCCCAAGGGUUGGGCUGUUCGCCCAUUAAAGCGGUACGCGAGCUGGGUUCAGAACGUCGUGAGACAGUUCGGUCCCUAUCCGGCGUGGGCGUAGGAUAUCUGAGAGGAGCUGUCCUUAGUACGAGAGGACCGGGAUGGACGGGCCGCUGGUGCACCGGUUAGACUGCCAAGUCUAUAGCCGGGUAGCCAAGCCCGGAAGGGAUAAACGCUGAAGGCAUCUAAGCGUGAAGCCCCCCUCAAGAUGAGAUAUCCCAUCCGAAAGGAGUAAACCCCCUUGAAGACGACGAGGUUGAUAGGGCAGGGGUGGAAGUGUGGUAACACAUGGAGCUGACUGCUACUAAUAGGGUGAGGGCUUGAUCA
Molecule: ribosomal RNA, 1456 nt
Filed under: metagenome
Description: bacterial LSU rRNA
Rfam family: Bacterial large subunit ribosomal RNA
Source: RNAcentral